Molecule: ribosomal RNA, 407 nt
Filed under: uncultured bacterium
Lineage: Bacteria
Description: partial 16S ribosomal RNA
Rfam family: Bacterial small subunit ribosomal RNA
Source: RNAcentral
AUUGAACGCUGGCGGCAGGCCUAACACAUGCAAGUCGAGCGGAGCGGCGGACGGGGGAGUAAUGCCUAGGAAUCUGCCUGGUAGUGGGGGAUAACGUCCGGAAACGGGCGCUAAUACUGCAUACUCUCAGAUGAGCCUAGGCGGGAUUAGCUAGUUGGUGGGGUAAAGGCUUACCUAGGCGACGAUCCGUAACUGGUCUGAGAGGAUGAUCAGUCACACUGGAACUGAGACACGGUCCAGACUCCUACGGGAGGCAGCAGUGGGGAAUAUUGGACAAUGGGCGAAAGCCUGAUGCAGCCAUGCCGCGUGUGUGAAGAAGGUCUUCGGGUUGUAAAGCACUUUAAGUUGGGAGGCGUUACCAGCAGAAUAAGCACCGGCUAACUUCGUGCCAGCCGCCGCGGUAAUAC